This 194-nucleotide antisense RNA is filed under the name Erwinia tracheiphila. Its description in RNAcentral is "Yersinia sRNA 251". It matches the Rfam family "Yersinia sRNA 251". From Rfam's summary of the family: Antisense to phoH gene. Trimmed on 5'end from the original size. Lineage: Bacteria; Pseudomonadati; Pseudomonadota; Gammaproteobacteria; Enterobacterales; Erwiniaceae. The record is from Rfam by way of RNAcentral.
CGUAGGCCAGCAACGUACGCUGACACAGCUGUGAGCGCACGCAGUCUUCUUUCGCGAAACGCACCACGCCAAUCAUGUCGUCCUCCUGGAAACGGGCCAGCGCAUCGCCAAGGCCGGACUGGACAUGGGACGGCAAAUCGCACUGGGUAAUAUCACCAUUUACGAUCACCGUAACGUUUUCCCCGAGUCGGGUC